Podarcis lilfordi (Lilford's wall lizard) is the source of this 67-nucleotide non-coding RNA. Lineage: Eukaryota; Metazoa; Chordata; Lepidosauria; Squamata; Lacertidae. The record is from the annotation of a GenBank genome assembly.
GCAGCUCAGUGGGAAAAGUAUCUGCCUUGCAUGCAGAAGGUUGAAGGUUCAAUCCCUAGCAUCUCCA